RNAcentral lists this long non-coding RNA (279 nucleotides) under Nicotiana benthamiana. RNAcentral's name for it is "long non-coding RNA (NBEN_LNC017044)". Lineage: Eukaryota; Viridiplantae; Streptophyta; Magnoliopsida; Solanales; Solanaceae. The record is from RNAcentral.
CAACGUUCAAAAAAUCCUUUCCAGGUUUUAAUUAAAACAAUCGAUUAUAGGAAAUCAACAAUCGAUUACUCAGCAACGUUCAAAAAUUCCUUUUCAGAUUUUAAUUAAAACAAUCGAUUAUAGGAAAGCAAUAACCGAUUACCUGACGGUAUUUGAAAAUAUUUUGGCAACGGUCAGUCAUACAAUCGAUUAUAUUAAGUUAACAAUCGAUUAUAUAUCAGUCUUGAAAAAUCAAUUUAGACACUGCCUCUUGACAAUCGAUUGUUAUAGGUUCACNNN